AUGUAUUCACCAGGGGAGGAGCGGGAUGAAAGCGCUUUUAACCUCCCCGCCAUAAACUUUAAUCGGAUUCCGAGCUGUUGCACGGCAUGGACUCCUCGCCUCUUCUCUGCGUCUCCUUCCCCGUUGUCUCCCAUUUCUACUACGAUCUGCUUUGCGAGAGCCUUUUCCAAGCGAAUGAGUGAUUCCUUUCUCUUGCCAUGUGCAAUCUUUCCCCCCUCCCCUUUCUACCCUCUCUGGCCUCUCUUACACACACUAUGUCUUUCACAUGCGGUCUGUGCCCCCCAGCCCCCUCCCUUUCUUUCUCUUUUGCAGUGUCUUCGCAUGCAAUCUCUCCCUGAAUGUGCAAUGUCUUUCCUGCUCGGGAGUGCUGCGUCCUUCACAGUGGAUUGGUUCCUCUUUCGGAGCAGAGAUCACGGGAAAAGAGAAAAGCAGUCGAAUAUUGUGAUAAUCCUGGGAGCCUGCAGAAGCUGGUUGAUAGACUUACAUGAAGAAAUUGUUACAGAUGUCAUGUUUUGAGGAUGGCUGAUCCUGUGCUUGGAAGCCAGCCAGAGAUCAUGAGGAUUGCGACUCUUCUUGAGCUUAUUACAAUGACAUUACGAGGAACAGAACAGCUUCAACCAGAUCAAAAUCAAUUUAUUCAGCUUUUUACUGCAAAGGAAGGGAAAGCCUCUGCGUGUUACAGCCUUGAGUUUCUUUAUGCCUAAUGAUGCUGUGCUUACUUCAAAUUGAAAUGGGCUUCCCAAAAGUCGAAUUUUUAAAAGGUUUUCUGAAGUCUGGAGAAAGGUAAGAGAAAAGCAGAAACUACUUUUUAUCAGAAAACAGAUAAAUAAAUAAGCCUAGUGUCAAAGUAACGUGCUUGAC
This 861-nucleotide long non-coding RNA is filed under the name Anas platyrhynchos platyrhynchos (common mallard). Its description in RNAcentral is "lncRNA (ENSAPLG00000023846.1)". Lineage: Eukaryota; Metazoa; Chordata; Aves; Anseriformes; Anatidae. The record is from RNAcentral.